Molecule: ribosomal RNA, 460 nt
Filed under: uncultured bacterium
Lineage: Bacteria
Description: partial 16S ribosomal RNA
Rfam family: Bacterial small subunit ribosomal RNA
Source: RNAcentral
CCUACGGGAGGCAGCAGUGAGGAAUAUUGGUCAAUGGACGAGAGUCUGAACCAGCCAAGUAGCGUGAAGGAUGACUGCCCUAUGGGUUGUAAACUUCUUUUAUAUGGGAAUAAAAUGUUCCACGUGUGGGAUUUUGUAUGUACCAUAUGAAUAAGGAUCGGCUAACUCCGUGCCAGCAGCCGCGGUAAUACGGAGGAUCCGAGCGUUAUCCGGAUUUAUUGGGUUUAAAGGGAGCGUAGGUGGAUUGUUAAGUCAGUUGUGAAAGUUUGCGGCUCAACCGUAAAAUUGCAGUUGAAACUGGCAGUCUUGAGUACAGUAGAGGUGGGCGGAAUUCGUGGUGUAGCGGUGAAAUGCUUAGAUAUCACGAAGAACUCCGAUUGCGAAGGCAGUUCACUUGACUGCAACUGACACUGAGGCUCGAAAGUGUGGGUAUCAAACAGGAUUAGAUACCCGAGUAGUC